This 370-nucleotide ribosomal RNA is filed under the name uncultured bacterium. RNAcentral's name for it is "bacterial SSU rRNA". It matches the Rfam family "Bacterial small subunit ribosomal RNA", at positions 524 to 896 of the family's 1533-position model. The record is from RNAcentral.
UACGUAGGGUGCAAGCGUUGUCCGGAUUUAUUGGGUUUAAAGGGUGCGUAGGUGGCUGUUUAAGUCAUGGGUGAAAGCCCACAGCUCAACUGUGGAACUGCCUGUGAUACUGAAUAGCUUGAGUGCGGUUGAGGCAGCUGGAAUUGGUGGUGUAGCGGUGAAAUGCAUAGAUACCACCAGGAACACCGAUUGCGAAGGCAGGUUGCUAAGCCGUAACUGACACUGAGGCACGAAAGCGUGGGGAGCAAACAGGAUUAGAUACCCUGGUAGUCCACGCUGUAAACGAUGAUGACUCGCUGCUGGCGAUAGAUAGUCAGUGGCCAAGGGAAACCGUUAAGUCAUCCACCUGGGGAGUACGCGCGCAAGCGUG